CCAGAUGCCCUUGGACUUUCCCUCCUUUCCCUGUCACCUGACUGCCGCGCCCAUCUACACACCUGAUCCUCAUCAGCCCUGCAGUCACCUGACCCUCCCUACCCAUCUGCUCAGCUGCAUCCCUGCAUUUGAGGUACUUUUCAUUUGAGAAAUGCCAAUCUGAUGUCUGCAGUGCUUCACGGAGCGUGUGAUACCGGUUGGAUGGCCUGUUGGAUAUGAGUGACAGACACACACCACGCACCUCACACGACCGGCAGUCAUGAGUUCGCCUGAAGAUGCAUAACACGCAUGCAUCAUGACACAGAGGCCAGGCACAGUGUUUGUGACUCAGCAGUGUGUGUGUGUGAUUCAUGCUGCUACUAGUGAUACUGCCCAACAUGUAAUUGAGGUAAUCUGGUUCAUUCAGAGCCUUUCGAGAAUAAACAUUACUCGUCAUUUGUGAAAA
Long non-coding RNA from Sebastes umbrosus (honeycomb rockfish), 445 nucleotides. RefSeq lists it as uncharacterized. Lineage: Eukaryota; Metazoa; Chordata; Actinopteri; Perciformes; Sebastidae. The transcript is spliced from 2 exons. The record is from RefSeq and is a predicted model, not a curated record.